This 497-nucleotide ribosomal RNA is filed under the name uncultured bacterium. RNAcentral describes it as "partial 16S ribosomal RNA". It matches the Rfam family "Bacterial small subunit ribosomal RNA", at positions 28 to 507 of the family's 1533-position model. The record is from RNAcentral.
GAUGAACGCUGGCGGCGUGCCUAAUACAUGCAAGUCGAGCGAACGGACGAGAAGCUUGCUUUUCUGAUGUUAGCGGCGGACGGGUGAGUAACACGUGGAUAACCUACCUAUAAGACUGGGAUAACUUCGGGAAACCGGAGCUAAUACCGGAUAAUAUUUUGAACCGCAUGGUUCAAAAGUGAAAGACGGUCUUGCUGUCACUUAUAGAUGGAUCCGCGCUGCAUUAGCUAGUUGGUAAGGUAACGGCUUACCAAGGCAACGAUGCAUAGCCGACCUGAGAGGGUGAUCGGCAACACUGGAACUGAGACACGGUCCAGACUCCUACGGGAGGCAGCAGUAGGGAAUCUUCCGAAAUGGGCGAAAGCCUGACGGAGCAACGCCGCGUGAGUGAUGAAGGUCUUCGGAUCGUAAAACUCUGUUAUUAGGGAAGAACAUAUGUGUAAGUAACUGUGCACAUCUUGACGGUACCUAAUCAGAAAGCCACGGCUAACUACGUG